AAGGCUUUAGCUUAAUAAAAGUAUCUGCGUUGCAUGCAGGAGAUGUAGGUUAAUAUCCCGCAAGUCUUA
Molecule: transfer RNA, 69 nt
Filed under: Osteomugil perusii (longfinned mullet)
Lineage: Eukaryota; Metazoa; Chordata; Actinopteri; Mugiliformes; Mugilidae
Description: Moolgarda perusii (longfinned mullet) tRNA-Ala
Rfam family: tRNA
About the family: Transfer RNA (tRNA) molecules are approximately 80 nucleotides in length.
Source: RNAcentral